CACAAUUGUUAGGAGAAAAGUCAAAAUUACGAGAAAAAAUUAAUCUGAAUUGUGUGAAAUAAACUCGUACUUGCAAGAAAAAAGUCUGUAGCCUAUAUGAGAAAUAGAGUCGUAAACGCCAUAGAUAGGCCUACAGCUCAUUCAGUCAAUGCGCUUGAGCUGCAGGAUGGUUCGAUGUUGCAUUCGGCUCUGCGAUGUUGGUAUAAACACUGCCAUCUAGUGUACAAGCCUAUUGAUUGGGGGAGGCAGGCAGUGCUGCAGCCUGUACACUGGAGAGGCAGGAAGCAAAACAUUUACAUUAGCGUGCAAUUUCAAGAUGGAAUCGAAACUCGAGAACAGGAGACAUGUGGAGCCAACCUAAGCCCUCGCCAUAUUUAACUAGACCCCAUUGGCUGGACUCUCUUCCAGACCAGGCAAGUUUACAUGGAUACUCCCAUAGCUAGAGGUUUCCCAAAAUCGGAGAGAGGAGGAGGAAGUGGGAAGUUGUCCUAAGAACGGACAGUUUUGCUGCCACUGACAGGACACUGAUCUGCAGUGAGCACUUCAAGACCGAGGACUUUGACAGGACCGGGCAGACUGUGCAGUUUAAAGAUGGUGUUUUGCCAUCCAUUUUCAGCUUUCCAGCACAUCUUCAAAGGUCGGUUGCAAUAAGAAGCACUACCACUUCAAGAAUAGUGGAAGACAACCUGCCAAUGGACUUGAUACCUGAUGUUGUGAGUAUUUGCAUGUGGAAUGUCACAAACUAAUCAGACCAUCAUAUGGCUUGUAAUAUUAAAUCCUUUAUCUUGGUGGUACCCAGAAAGGUUUAUGUUGGUGUUAGUAAUCUAAGGGCAAUUUCAUACCUGAAAGUCUGGACCAAGGAGCUUGGCUUUGGGGAUUUCCUUGCAUGAAUGUCUUACAUUCAUAAACAUCAUGUUUGUGGCUGCCUGCUGCUCAAUCAGUUUUUUUUUUUGUUUGUAAGAUAUGUUUUAUGAAGAUGUACACAUUACCUGAAAGUGUCACAAGCUAUUUUGAGUAUUUAGAAAAAAAAGGUGUUUUUGACUAUCUGUUUGCAGAAUGUAUCACCACUGAUACAGUCUAAAUUGUUUGAUAAUACUCGUAUAUCGUGUUUUUUUUUUAAGGUGGUAAGGUGGCUGGAAUAACAACCCCAAUGCCAGCCAGUUUAAGUAUAUAUUUAGAAAGCUGAUGGCCUGGUGUGGAGUUGUGGACCAUGCAGAGACAAUGUUACAGCACAGGAUGAGGCCGAGUCAUCGACACCUCUACAAGCCUGUCAACUGUAUAUAUGUCCUCUGCAGCAAGAGAAGAUCUUCCCUUUCCGUUUGCUGACAUUCCUGCAUUAGUACAUGAUCACAGUUACCUUCCCGUCAGCUUCAAUUGUCUUCUGGACAAUGCUCUCGUGUACAUUUCAGGUAAAGGCUGACUGA
Molecule: long non-coding RNA, 1424 nt
Organism: Alosa alosa (allis shad)
Lineage: Eukaryota; Metazoa; Chordata; Actinopteri; Clupeiformes; Clupeidae
Exons: 4
Source: RefSeq, a predicted model, not a curated record